CGCUCCUUGAAAAGCUACAAAUAAUGCGAACAUAUUAGGAGUCCUGCCUGCCCGGUGACUUAGUUAAACGGCCGCGGUAUCUUGACCGUGCAAAGGUAGCAUAAUCAUUUGCCUCUUAAAUGGGGGCUGGUAUGAAUGGCAAGACGGAAAUUAAGCUGUCUCUYCCUUGGUUUCCCUAAUUUAAUUUUUCCGUGAAGAAGCGGAAAUUUAGUCGUGGGACGAGAAGACCCUGUCGAGCUUUAGUGGUUAUUUUCUAGGCAGAGUAAAGGCCGUUUGCUGCUAAUUAACUUAUAAAAGGAAUUUGUUUUACGAGGCGAAGGACCUUGUCUUGGGAAGUACGCUUUGGUUGGGGCAACCGCGGAGUAUAGAAAUCCUCCGUUAAGUUAACUAAAUGAAGUUAUAUCUUUUUUGUGGGCUUACUAUCGGAUUGAUCCGCCUGUAUGGGGGCGAACAAAUGAACAAGUUACCGCAGGGAUAACAGCGUAAUUCCCUUGGAGAGUUCGUAUUGGUAAGGGAGUUUGCGACCUCGAUGUUGGAUCGGGAUUUCCUGGGGGUGAAGCAGCUCCUAAGGGUUGGUCUGUUCGACCAUUAAAAUCUUACG
This 601-nucleotide ribosomal RNA is filed under the name Asteroidea sp. RCMBAR089. RNAcentral describes it as "partial 16S ribosomal RNA". The record is from RNAcentral. Lineage: Eukaryota; Metazoa; Echinodermata; Asteroidea.